Molecule: microRNA precursor, 143 nt
Filed under: Pelobates cultripes (western spadefoot toad)
Lineage: Eukaryota; Metazoa; Chordata; Amphibia; Anura; Pelobatidae
Source: RNAcentral
GAUUAGUGACAGAGUGAGGGAGGGGGUGACUAGUGACAGUGAGGGAGUGGGUGACAGUGACAGAGUUAGGGAGGGAGUGACUAGUGACAGUCACUCCCUCCCUCUGUCACUAGUCACUCCCUCCCUCUGUCACUAGUCACUCC